This is a long non-coding RNA of Solea senegalensis (Senegalese sole), 251 nucleotides long. RefSeq lists it as uncharacterized. NCBI's taxonomy places the organism in Eukaryota, Metazoa, Chordata, Actinopteri, Pleuronectiformes, Soleidae. The transcript is spliced from 3 exons. The record is from RefSeq and is a predicted model, not a curated record.
UUGGCGCCACUUUCAAAUCCUCCACUGACACAGAAUGAGAGUCCGGCUUCAAAUACAUUACACAUCACUUUAUUCAUUCUUUUCAUUUUAAUUGUAAGACAAGGAAUAUCUUUACAGUUUUUGUCUUUUGGACCCUUUUUCCCCUUUCGGAAGAGUUGAAUGUGUGACCCUCCCUCUGCUGUGGGCCUGCAGCAAAUUAGAUGACUGCACCAGAAAAUUCUCCUGUUACCUGACCUGGGAAAAGAAAGAGA